This 73-nucleotide transfer RNA is filed under the name Candidatus Shapirobacteria bacterium. RNAcentral describes it as "tRNA-Thr". It matches the Rfam family "tRNA". Rfam says of the family: Transfer RNA (tRNA) molecules are approximately 80 nucleotides in length. Their secondary structure includes four short double-helical elements and three loops (D, anti-codon, and T loops). Further hydrogen bonds mediate the characteristic L-shaped molecular structure. tRNAs have two regions of fundamental functional importance: the anti-codon, which is responsible for specific mRNA codon recognition, and the 3' end, to which the tRNAs corresponding amino acid is attached (by aminoacyl-tRNA synthetases). tRNAs cope with the degeneracy of the genetic code in two manners: having more than one tRNA (with a specific anti-codon) for a particular amino acid; and 'wobble' base-pairing, i.e. permitting non-standard base-pairing at the 3rd anti-codon position. The record is from RNAcentral. Lineage: Bacteria; Candidatus Shapironibacteriota.
GCCGAAGUAGCUCAGUUGGUAGAGCAUAGCUUUCGUAAAGCUGGGGUCGGGAGUUCGAUCCUCCCCUUCGGCU